RNAcentral lists this ribosomal RNA (1299 nucleotides) under metagenome. RNAcentral describes it as "bacterial LSU rRNA". It matches the Rfam family "Bacterial large subunit ribosomal RNA", at positions 1638 to 2925 of the family's 2925-position model. The record is from RNAcentral.
ACGACCGUACCGCAAACCGACACUGGUGCGCGAGAUGAGUAUUCUAAGGCGCUUGAGAGAACUCAGGAGAAGGAACUCGGCAAAUUGACACCGUAACUUCGGAAGAAGGUGUGCCUUUAGUAGGUGAAGUCCCUCGCGGAUGGAGCCCAAUGAGGUUGCAAAGAAUCGGUGGCUGCGACUGUUUAUUAAAAACACAGCACUCUGCAAACACGAAAGUGGACGUAUAGGGUGUGACGCCUGCCCGGUGCUGGAAGAUUAAAUGAUGGGGUGCAAGCUCUUGAUUGAAGUCCCAGUAAACGGCGGCCGUAACUAUAACGGUCCUAAGGUAGCGAAAUUCCUUGUCGGGUAUGUUCCGACCUGCACGAAUGGCGUAACGAUGGCCACACUGUCUCCUCCUGAGACUCAGCGAAGUUGAAAUGUUUGUGAUGAUGCAAUCUCCCCGCGGAAAGACGGAAAGACCCCAUGAACCUUUACUGUAGCUUUGUAUUGGACUUUGAACAGAUCUGUGUAGGAUAGGUGGGAGGCUUUGAAGCAGGGUCGCUAGAUCUUGUGGAGCCAACGUUGAAAUACCACCCUGGUGUGUUUGAGGUUCUAACCUAGGCCCGUAAUCCGGGUUGGGGACAGUGCAUGGUAGGCAGUUUGACUGGGGCGGUCUCCUCCCAAAGUGUAACGGAGGAGUUCGAAGGUACGCUAGUUACGGUCGGACAUCGUGACGAUAGUGCAAUGGCAUAAGCGUGCUUAACUGCGAGACUGACAAGUCGAGCAGAUGCGAAAGCAGGACAUAGUGAUCCGGUGGUUCUGUAUGGAAGGGCCAUCGCUCAACGGAUAAAAGGUACUCUGGGGAUAACAGGCUGAUACCGCCCAAGAGUUCAUAUCGACGGCGGUGUUUGGCACCUCGAUGUCGGCUCAUCUCAUCCUGGGGCUGUAGCCGGUCCCAAGGGUAUGGCUGUUCGCCAUUUAAAGAGGUACGUGAGCUGGGUUUAAAACGUCGUGAGACAGUUUGGUCCCUAUCUUCCGUGGGCGCUGCAGAUUUGAGGAAGCCUGCUCCUAGUACGAGAGGACCGGAGUGGACGCACCUCUGGUGUAUCGGUUGUCACGCCAGUGGCAUUGCCGAGUAGCUAUGUGCGGAAGAGAUAACCGCUGAAAGCAUCUAAGCGGGAAACUCGUUUCAAGAUGAGAUCUGCCGGGGCCUUGAGCCCCCUGAAGAGUCGUUCAAGACCAGGACGUUGAUAGGUCGGGUGUGGAAGCGCAGUAAUGCGUUAAGCUAACCGAUACUAAUUGCUCGUGCGGCUUGACCCG